UAAUAAGUGUUUUAUGGCACUUUUUAAAUCCAUAUCCACCUUGUGUGCAAUGUCAGUCGAUCUUCUUCAUGGAGAUCGACCAAACAUCAACCUUUAUCUUUUAACUCUUUGUCUGAAAAAUAUUAUGAAUAAACAAUUCAAAUA
RNAcentral lists this unclassified non-coding RNA (144 nucleotides) under soil metagenome. RNAcentral describes it as "partial internal transcribed spacer 1". The record is from RNAcentral.